CCCGCGCCCGGGCUGCCGCAGGGCGGGGCGGCUCCGCAGCCUGUCCCCUCCCUGCCCCUGUCCCCAUCCCUGUCCCCGUCCCUGUCAGCGCCCGGGGUGCCCGAAGGGGCAAAGGGAAAGGAGGAGAAAAGGGGCCGGAUUGGCACGGUGGGCACAGGGAGCGUCCCACCCAGGCUGAGGGGUGCCAAAACACCCUGCUGUGCCCGGCUGCGGUGGGGACCAGCCCGGCUCAGCCCGGCCCGGCUCUGCUGUAACAUUUAACUUGCCGUAGUCUGUGAUCCUGAAAAGCUGAAAUUAAUGACAGCCUUGCAGUUGCUCAUUAAUAAUUGCUUCAUUACUGUACGCAGUUGCAGCCUCCUGACAAUAAUGGGGUUUGCUGGUGUAUUUCUAAUUAUCUGGCAUUUCAGCUCCCUAAUAUAGUCCCGGUGCUCCCUGACGAGACCUCGCUCUCCAGCAGGAGCGCAGCCCAGCCCGCUCAGCCCGCCUGCUCCUUCAUCGGCAGCUCCUGGGAAGAGGCAGAGCCGCCCUGGUGGGGCCCACGCAGGACCCGGGGGCACCGAGACCCUCCACACCUGGGCUGAACUCUUCUCAUCCCCGUGGCACACCUGGUGCUCGUGCUGAGGUCGGUUUGGGAGCAGUGACAUCGUGAGAGUACCUGGGAGCUCCAGUGCACUAAGCAGAUAUCAUGGAAGACUGUACCGGGAGGCCUGGCCUCAGUGGUGCAGGGCCAAGCUUCUGAAACCCAGAACAUAAACACAACAGGUGAGACCCAGGCCCUCCCUCUGCCCGGGGCUGCUCUGCACGCCGUGUUAAGGCUCAGGAAGUUUUCUCUGUACAAAAGCAAGGUGGAGGCUGGCAGAGGGUGGGCAGUGCCCCAGGGGGCUGCCCCCAGCCCCGUGGGGAACCAGGGCAGUUCUGUGAUAGUGUGUGCAGAGCUCCAGUGACCUGGAGAGAUGCAAGAAAGACACCUCUGGUGAAUUCAACCAGAAAUGCGGCUCCGGUGCCAGCAUCCAUUCCCGUGUUCCCUGAUCUGUGAAGGAUGAACAAGGCCAAGGUAGUUACAAACCCCAGUACAAAGUAGGUCUUAAUUUUUAUUGUUAAAGAAUAAUACUGAGAGCAGGUGAAGGCAUUUCUGAGUCCCCAGGGGCAAGGUGCCCCAGUGGAUGUGCCAGCCCCAGGGUGGCAGCAGCUGAGGGUCCCGGGCAGGAGGAUUCUCCUCUCCACCUCCAAGACGUGGAUUUCCAACCCCUGUGCUGCCUUCAGCAAGGAACUUCCAAUAAAGCAUUUGCAAAGCUGAAAAGCACAGUUAAAUAAAAAUAUUUCUGAACAAAACAAACACAACAGACUCGACUGUCUCAGCGCUCCCUCGCUCCCCUGCCACGGCUGCUGUUCCUGGCUCACGGAUGCCUCCUGCACUUCAGCAACAGAAGUGAAACCAUCUGGGACUGCAGCCUCCCCCCAAAAGAACUGUGCAUCAUAUGGACCUUGAAAAAGAUUACAUCUGUUUAUUAAUAGUAAAAAUGGAUACAUUUGUCCUACAUUUUGUUUUUAGAAAUUUGAUCAUGUCACAAGCAAUACCUGCGUGUACGUGGGUGGAUUACAGAUGUAUAUAAUUUAUUUUAACCAGGCUGUGAAAUAAUAUGUAAUCACAUCUCUUCUUGUGAUUGUACAUAAUACAGUAAUUAAAUGAU
Molecule: long non-coding RNA, 1691 nt
Organism: Haemorhous mexicanus (house finch)
Lineage: Eukaryota; Metazoa; Chordata; Aves; Passeriformes; Fringillidae
Exons: 2
Source: RefSeq, a predicted model, not a curated record